RNAcentral lists this long non-coding RNA (1967 nucleotides) under Cricetulus griseus (Chinese hamster). Its description in RNAcentral is "lncRNA (ENSCGRG00000025835.1)". The record is from RNAcentral. Lineage: Eukaryota; Metazoa; Chordata; Mammalia; Rodentia; Cricetidae.
CAGCAUGUUAAAUAAUCGUAUUGACUGUUUUCUGCCAAGUAGAGUGUGCCAUCUAGCAAAGCAGCGAUUGUUUUCAACACUGCGGUUUACAUUGUUCUUAGACAAGCAAUACACAAUUUCUUAUUGAAUACAGGAAAUUAAUUUAUGUGAAAUAAAUUUAUGUGUCUGAUUUAUGUCUUCAUGUCUCCACCACUUUGCCCUACAGCAAACCCUUAAAGACACAGCUGUGUAGAGGAAGAGCGAUUAAUUCAAUCAACGUUUAAAAUCAUAACUGAUUUUAGUGUCUGUAUUUUCAAAUCUACCCAAACACUUUGUCUCAGAAGUGAGUACCAGUAAAUCCUAUGUUAUACAAACUAUGGAAAAACAAAAAAAGAACAAAAACCAGGAGCCAGGCAUAGUGGCACAACCUUUAAUCCCAGUAUUCAGGAGGCAGAAGCAGGAGGAGCUCUGUGUGUUGGAAGGCAGCUUGAUCUACGUUGCAAGUUCUAGGACAACCAGUAUAACACAGCGUCACGCUGUCUAAAAAAUAAAAUAAAAUAAACCUCUUAGGACCUUCCCAUUUGCAUCAGAGAUGGCUGAGAACGGCCCCCUGCUGAGGCCUUCCUCCACCUCCACCAAGGAAGACUCUGUGCUCUGGUCCAUCGCACUGGACCAGCAGUCCUCUGUCUACCCUCUCUGGAGCGUCCCAUGCCGAGCUGGCCCAGGAAGUAUGACGCUAGCUGGAUAGAGGAAGUUCAGCAAGGGCUGCAGUAAAGACAUAAAAGGUUAUUGCAAAAUAAGCUGGCCUCUUCACUUUCUGUGGAAUUUACUGGACCAGAAUUGAUCCAGGCGAUGUGAAAAUAAAAGAUACAGGAGACCGAUCUCAACAGAAGCAGCAUCCUUUCAUUAGAGCAAUAAAGGACGAACACAAAGACCGCCACAUGGAUGAGAGAAGGAGCGGCUUUCCCUAACCUUAGGGCGGGAAGUGUUUUCUUCAAUGUGGGAGAAAGGGGCUGGGGGAAGCGGCCCAAACUUGCCAAAGUUGCGGAGUUCCAGAGGCGGGGCUUUGAGUCUGUCUGCUCACAGGAGCUCGGCAAGCACCUCUGUGCGAAGCGGCGAGUCUGCGCGGGGAGGGCAGGACUCACAGCACUUCCUCCCCGAGCCCACGUCCUCCGCUCCAGGCCGUCUCAACCCAGGGGUGACAACCGCGCAUCUCAGCUCGGCUCAGCCCGGUGCAUUUCACAGCAUCUUGUGGCCACCCGGUGCAUCUCAGCUCAGCCCCGCGCUUCUGGGCGCAGCCCGCGCACCCCAGCCGUCAAGAUGGGUGAAUCAAAUGAAGACAUAGACCAGAUGUUCAGCACUUUGCUGGGGGAGAUGGAUCUCUUGACCCAGAGUUUAGGAGUGGACACUCUUCCUCCUCCAGAACCCAAGCCACCCCGAGAAGAGUUCAACUACAGUGUGGGGUUUAAGGAUUUACAUGGUAAGCAUGUUUUCUUAAGCAAUUUGAAACCCUAAUGAUGACCGAAGUCUCCAUGGAACUAUACUCUGACCAUGAAACUAAGGAAAUGUGAGCAUUGUGGUAAAUAAUGUGUAAGCCCCAGACUGUGGGCAGUAUUUUACUAUGUCUACACUGAAUUAAGAAAGUCCAUUAGAUAUUUUUGUCUAUAACAAUGAAAGGGAAGACCAUCUUCCAUUUAUGAAAAGUCUCAGGACAACCUCACCUUUUGAAAAGGAAAGCAAAGUUUCUUCUUAUUACUAAGGAGCCCAUUAUCUUUUAAUUUUUUUAUUACAAAAAUUCUUAGCUAGGCAUUGGUGGCACACACCUUUAAUCUCAACACCUGGGAGGCAGAGGCAGCCAGAUCUCUGUGAGUUCGAGGUCAGCCUGGGCUACAGAGCAAGUGCCAGGACACCUCCAAAAGUACACAGAGAAACCCUGUCUCAAAAAGCAUACAUAUAUAUCAAAGUCAUUCAGAGAACGACAGACUUAA